AUGGGGAACUGCGCCAGCGCCAUGGACGGCCUCAUCCCGUGGGGCUGGGGCGCCAAGCCCGCCGCCGCCAAUCCCGCAGGGAUGUCUGCGUCCAAGAGGACCACGAGCUCCUCCACCACCGCCACAACAGGGAAGCUGUCGACAGUCAGCACCAGCACCUUCAUGGCGUCGACGGUCAGCGGCGGCAGCACCGACGACUGCUACGAGGAGGGGGGCCACAUCCUCGAGUCCCCGAACCUCAGGAUCUUCACCUUCGCCGAGCUCAGGGGCGCCUGCAAGAACUUCAAGCCCGAGACGGUGCUUGGCGAGGGCGGCUUCGGGAAGGUCUACAAGGGGUGGAUCGACGUGAACCCGGCCAAGGGAAGCACCGCCAUGGUCGUCGCCGUCAAGAAGCUCAACCCCGAGAGCGUGCAGGGGAUGGAGCAAUGGCAGUCUGAAGUGAAUUUCCUUGGGAGAAUUUCGCACCCCAACCUCGUCAAACUGUUGGGCUACUGCAUGGAGGACAACGAGCUACUACUCGUGUACGAGUUCAUGGCGAAGGGGAGCUUGGAGAACCACCUCUUCAGAAGAGGGGCCAUCUAUGAGCCACUGCCUUGGAGCCUCAGGCUGAAGAUUCUCAUCGGUGCAGCCCGCGGCCUCGCCUUCCUUCAUUCGUCCGAAAGGCAGAUUAUCUACCGGGACUUCAAGGCGUCCAAUAUCCUACUAGAUUCACACUUCAACCCGAAGCUCUCGGAUUUUGGAUUGGCCAAGCAUGGCCCAGAUGACGGGGAGUCUCAUGUAACGACACGGGUCAUGGGCACGUAUGGGUAUGCCGCUCCGGAGUACGUUUCUACCGGCCACCUGUAUGUGAAGAGCGACGUGUACGGCUUCGGCGUCGUGCUGCUCGAGAUGCUCUGCGGCCUGAGGGCGCUUGACCCGAGCCGCCCCAGCGAGAAGCUCAACCUGGUGAACUGGGCGAAGCCGCUCCUGUCGGACCGGAGGAGGCUGACCCAGCUGAUGGACAGCCGGCUCGAGGGGCAGUACCAUGCCAGAGGGGCCUUCCGCGCCGCUCAGCUCACUCUCAAGUGCCUGGCCGGCGAGCCGAAGAGCCGGCCAUCCAUGAAGGAGGUCGUCGAGGUGCUCGAGCAGAUCGAGGCGAUGAAGAGCAAGUCCAAGUCGAGGGAGGCUCGGCGAGACAGCCCGUCGAUGCCGCGUGGCCGGGGGAACUCGCCAAGGAGUGACGGCGCUAGGACCAACUCUAGGGGCAGAUGA
This 1251-nucleotide ribosomal RNA is filed under the name Triticum aestivum (bread wheat). Its description in RNAcentral is "partial small subunit ribosomal RNA". The record is from RNAcentral. Lineage: Eukaryota; Viridiplantae; Streptophyta; Magnoliopsida; Poales; Poaceae.